UACGUAGGGACCGAGCGUUGUCCGGAUCAUUGGGCGUAAAGAGCGUGUAGGCGGCCACUUAAGUCCUGCGUGAAAUCUUGCGGCUCAACCGCAAGCGGUCGUGGGAAACUGGGUGGCUAGAGUGCGGGAGAGGAGAGUGGAAUUCCUGGUGUAGCGGUGGAAUGCGCAGAUAUCAGGAGGAACACCGAUGGCGAAGGCAGGUCACUGGGCCGCAACUGACGCUGAGGAGCGAAAGCAUGGGGAGCGAACAGG
Molecule: ribosomal RNA, 252 nt
Filed under: uncultured bacterium
Lineage: Bacteria
Description: partial 16S ribosomal RNA
Rfam family: Bacterial small subunit ribosomal RNA
Source: RNAcentral